UUAAGUUAGAAAGGGCGCACGGUGGAUGCCUUGACACUAGGAGUCGAUGAAGGACGGGACUAACGCCGAUAUGCUUCGGGGAGCUGUAAGUAAGCUUUGAUCCGGAGAUUUCCGAAUGGGGGAACCCACUGUUCGUAAUGGAGCAGUAUCUUGACGUGAAUACAUAGCGUCAUGAUGGCAUACCCAGGGAACUGAAACAUCUAAGUACCUGGAGGAAGAGAAAGCAAAUGCGAUUUCCUGAGUAGCGGCGAGCGAAACGGAACAUAGCCCAAACCAAGAGGCUUGCCUCUUGGGGUUGUAGGACAUUCUAUACGGAGUUACAAAGGAACGAGGUAGACGAAGCGACCUGGAAAGGUCCGUCGUAGAGGGUAACAACCCCGUAGUCGAAACUUCGUUCUCUCUUGAAUGUAUCCUGAGUACGGCGGAACACGUGAAAUUCCGUCGGAAUCCGGGAGGACCAUCUCCCAAGGCUAAAUACUCCCUAGUGAUCGAUAGUGAACCAGUACCGUGAGGGAAAGGUGAAAAGCACCCCGGAAGGGGAGUGAAAGAGAUCCUGAAACCGUGUGCCUACAAAUAGUCAGAGCCCGUUAAUGGGUGAUGGCGUGCCUUUUGUAGAAUGAACCGGCGAGUUACGAUCCCGUGCGAGGUUAAGCUGAAGAGGCGGAGCCGCAGCGAAAGCGAGUCUGAAUAGGGCGUUUAGUACGUGGUCGUAGACCCGAAACCAGGUGAUCUACCCAUGUCCAGGGUGAAGUUCAGGUAACACUGAAUGGAGGCCCGAACCCACGCACGUUGAAAAGUGCGGGGAUGAGGUGUGGGUAGCGGAGAAAUUCCAAUCGAACCUGGAGAUAGCUGGUUCUCCCCGAAAUAGCUUUAGGGCUAGCCUUAAGUGUAAGAGUCUUGGAGGUAGAGCACUGAUUGAACUAGGGGUCCUCAUCGGAUUACCGAAUUCAGUCAAACUCCGAAUGCCAAUGACUUAUCCUUAGGAGUCAGACUGCGAGUGAUAAGAUCCGUAGUCAAAAGGGAAACAGCCCAGACCACCAGCUAAGGUCCCAAAGUAAUCGUUAAGCGGAAAAGGAUGUGGCGUUGCUUAGACAACCAGGAUGUUGGCUUAGAAGCAGCCACCAUUUAAAGAGUGCGUAAUAGCUCACUAGUCGAGUGACUCUGCGCCGAAAAUGUACCGGGGCUAAAUACACCACCGAAGCUGCGGAUUGAUACCAAUGGUAUCAGUGGUAGGGGAGCGUUCUAAGGACAGUGAAGUCAGACCGGAAGGACUGGUGGAGUGCUUAGAAGUGAGAAUGCCGGUAUGAGUAGCGAAAGACGGGUGAGAAUCCCGUCCACCGAAUGCCUAAGGUUUCCUGAGGAAGGCUCGUCCGCUCAGGGUUAGUCAGGACCUAAGCCGAGGCCGACAGGCGUAGGCGAUGGACAACAGGUUGAUAUUCCUGUACCACCUCUUUAUCGUUUGAGCAAUGGAGGGACGCAGAAGGAUAGAAGAAGCGUGCGAUUGGUUGUGCACGUCCAAGCAGUUAGGCUGAUAAGUAGGCAAAUCCGCUUAUCGUAAAGGCUGAGCUGUGAUGGGGAAGCUCCUUAUGGAGCGAAGUCUUUGAUUCCCCGCUGCCAAGAAAAGCUUCUAGCGAGAUAAAAGGUGCCUGUACCGCAAACCGACACAGGUAGGCGAGGAGAGAAUCCUAAGGUGUGCGAGAGAACUCUGGUUAAGGAACUCGGCAAAAUGACCCCGUAACUUCGGGAGAAGGGGUGCUUUCUUAACGGAAAGCCGCAGUGAAUAGGCCCAAGCGACUGUUUAGCAAAAACACAGGUCUGUGCGAAGCCGCAAGGCGAAGUAUACGGGCUGACGCCUGCCCGGUGCUGGAAGGUUAAGGGGAGUGGUUAGGGGUAACCCGAAGCUAUGAACCGAAGCCCCAGUAAACGGCGGCCGUAACUAUAACGGUCCUAAGGUAGCGAAAUUCCUUGUCAGGUAAAUUCUGACCCGCACGAAUGGCGUAACGACUUGGGCGCUGUCUCAACGAGAGAUCCGGUGAAAUUUUAAUACCUGUGAAGAUGCAGGUUACCCGCGACAAGACGGAAAGACCCCAUGGAGCUUUACUGCAGCUUGAUAUUGGACUUUGAUACGAUUUGUACAGGAUAGGUGGGAGCCUAGGAAGCCGGAGCGCCAGCUUCGGUGGAGGCGCCGUUGGGAU
This 2195-nucleotide ribosomal RNA is filed under the name Serratia marcescens. RNAcentral describes it as "bacterial LSU rRNA". It matches the Rfam family "Bacterial large subunit ribosomal RNA", at positions 3 to 2198 of the family's 2925-position model. The record is from RNAcentral. Lineage: Bacteria; Pseudomonadati; Pseudomonadota; Gammaproteobacteria; Enterobacterales; Yersiniaceae.